GACGAACGCUGGCGGCGUGCCUAAUACAUGCAAGUUGAGCGCUGAAGGUUGGUACUUGUACCAACUGGAUGAGCAGCGAACGGGUGAGUAACGCGUGGGGAAUCUGCCUUUGAGCGGGGGACAACAUUUGGAAACGAAUGCUAAUACCGCAUAAAAACUUUAAACACAAGUUUUAAGUUUGAAAGAUGCAAUUGCAUCACUCAAAGAUGAUCCCGCGUUGUAUUAGCUAGUUGGUGAGGUAAAGGCUCACCAAGGCGAUGAUACAUAGCCGACCUGAGAGGGUGAUCGGCCACAUUGGGACUGAGACACGGCCCAAACGCCUACGGGAGGCAGCAGUAGGGAAUCUUCGGCAAUGGACGAAAGUCUGACCGAGCAACGCCGCGUGAGGGAAGAAGGGUGUCGGAUCGUAAAACUCGGUUGGUAGAGAAGAACGUUGGUGAGAGUGGAAAGCUCAUCAAGUGACGGUAACUACCCAGAAAGGGACGGCUAACUACGUG
Molecule: ribosomal RNA, 497 nt
Filed under: uncultured bacterium
Lineage: Bacteria
Description: partial 16S ribosomal RNA
Rfam family: Bacterial small subunit ribosomal RNA
Source: RNAcentral